RNAcentral lists this ribosomal RNA (354 nucleotides) under uncultured bacterium. RNAcentral's name for it is "partial 16S ribosomal RNA". It matches the Rfam family "Bacterial small subunit ribosomal RNA", at positions 338 to 709 of the family's 1533-position model. The record is from RNAcentral.
CCUACGGGAGGCAGCAGUAGGGAAUAUUGCUCAAUGGGGGAAACCCUGAAGCAGCAACGCCGCGUGGGGGAUGAAGGUUUUAGGAUUGUAAACUCCUUUUGUUAGAGAAGAUUAUGACGGUAUCCAACGAAUAAGCACCGGCUAACUCCGUGCCAGCAGCCGCGGUAAUACGGAGGGUGCAAGCGUUACUCGGAAUCACUGGGCGUAAAGAGUGCGUAGGCGGGGUAAUAAGUCAGAUGUGAAAUCCUGUAGCUUAACUACAGAACUGCAUUUGAAACUGGUACUCUGGAGUGUGGGAGAGGUAGGUGGAAUUCUUGGUGUAGGGGUAAAAUCCGUAGAGAUCAAGAGGAAUAC